UUUCCGUAGGUGAACCUGCGGAAGGAUCAUUAUUGUAUAACCGAGGUGCGAGGGCUGUCGCUGACCCGAAAGGUCGUGCACGCCCGAGUGCCCUCACACAUCCAUCUCACCCCUAUGUGCACCACCGCGUGGGUCCCCCUUUGGCUUGUUCGGAGGGGGGCUUACGUUUUCACACAAACUUUGUAUGUAGUGUAGAAUGUAUUUUUUGUUUUUGCGAUCACGCAAUCAAUACAACUUUCAACAACGGAUCUCUUGGCUCUC
RNAcentral lists this unclassified non-coding RNA (261 nucleotides) under plant metagenome. Its description in RNAcentral is "partial contains small subunit ribosomal RNA, internal transcribed spacer 1, and 5.8S ribosomal RNA". The record is from RNAcentral.